AGGUGGAUACCACCACACUGUCUUGUAGAUGUUGAUGUAGUGGACGAAGAGUGCUAUGAGCUGGCAGAAGAAGAGCUGCAACUCAAACAGAAUGCUGGCCUGGACUGGCAGCUCGGGGAUCUUGCAGUGCUGUAGAGGCACAACAGUUUGGGUGGCCAGAGGAGGGCUGGAGAGGCCUGUUCCAGAACUGCUCCUGACAGUGGGGAGGGAACAACAUCAGCAGCUGACCUGAGAAUCCUACCAGGAAGGGCUUCUGAGGCAAAGGAUUGUGGGAUAAGAUCAGAAAAGCAGCUCAUAGCAAGGACGGGGUCUUCCUAAUCCUGCUUGUCAGACAAAGGAACCCGACAAAGCCUUUUCCUAUCCCUAAUCUUAUUCAGGUCUUCCAACACCCCCUAGGAGAGAAAGAAUUAUUAGGUCCAUCUUACAGAUGAGGAAAAGGAGGCCCAGAGAAGGGAGGCAACUUGUCCAAGCCAUCAGCAAAUCUGGAGCAGAACUGUAAUUAGAAUCCAGGCCUUUGGAUUUAUUCUACCAUGUCCCACUGCAUCUGUCCAAGUGAUCACCCUCAACUGAGCUCCCUCUGGAUCUUUUCUGCUGCUUACUCCCCUCUAAGCCCCCACUGGCAUCUAGGAUUUCACAUCUUAGAAUCCAGUCAGAGAGAGCCCUGUCCACAUCGUCCCUGUGAGGCCACAGUGAGGGGUGAGACAGAGAGGUGGUUUACCUGGUGCGGGAACGAACACUGGUCACCGAUGCACUGGAAGUGUGGCUUCCACUAGAGCCCCCCGAGGAUCCCGGCUCACAGAGCGGAUUUCGACAGUAAGAUGUCCUGUUGGGACCUCUUCGUCCUCCUGUGGGGCUCAACAUAAAAUAGAGCCUCAAGCCAGGGGGCAUAUAUCAAGGAUAACAGCAAUGAUACCAGCUGCCAGUCACCUAGUAUCUCACUUUAUCAUUUAAUCCUCACUGAGACCUAUGAUCUGGCCCCUUCUUACAUCUUCAGCUUCAUCCCCUAUCAUUCUCUACCUCACACCCACCCUCUACCACCCGCCCCAUGCUCUAAACAUCUUGAUCUUUCUUUCCUCAGCAAGCCAAGCUCAUUGCUACCUCUAGCACUUAUAAUAUCCUAUCUGGAAAGCCUUUCCCGGACUGCCAUUUCUGAAGUUUUGAAGUAACUCCCCAUCACUCUCUCUCCAAUUUCUAUUCUUUUUUUCCACCAGAAUUCACUCUCUGAAAUUAUCUUACUCAUUUGUUAAUAUGCUUAUUGCUUGUCUGUCCUAUUACAAUGAAAGGUCAAUGAGGUCAGUUACCUUAUCUUUUUCACUGCUAUAUCCCCUACCUCAGUGCCCAGCAAGUAUAUGUUGAUGAGUGAAUGAACCCAGCAAGGUAGGUUUUUCACACAUUAGGAAACUCAGCUUACACUAUGUCACAGUAUCGUGGCUGGGUCGUGUGCUCUCAACUCUGGUACACAUUGGGCCCCAUUCAGACAUAAGUUUCUGGAGGCCUAUAACUCUGGGUAACUUUGGGACAGCUUUUUCAUCCAGGGCCCCAUGAUUCAGCUCAAAGGGCAUUCUGGGAUCUCAUGGGCAGGACCCAGGGCCUAAAUAAAGGGUCAAGGAUAUGGCUGGGAGAAUCCUGUGGCUGUGGACUGAAAAAUUGGACCUACUAGGCUGAGCAGUCUAGCCCAAGCUCCCACGCACCACUUCGCACAAAAGUUCUGCACAAAGCUCCUAAGCACCUAAAAAAGUCACAACCUGACUGGGUGUGGUGGCUCACGACUGUAAUCUCAGCAAUUUGUGAGGCCGAGGCGGGAGGAUCGCUUGAGACCAGGAGUUGGAGACCAGCCUGGGCAACAUGGCGAAACCCGGUCUCUAUUAAAAAAUAUAUAUACAUACAUAUACAUAUUUUUAAAAAGUUAUAACCUGUUCAUACCUCUUCACAGUAACACAGCAGCCUCCAUUCACAUACACCCCACGCCGUAGCAUCUCAGCUCGGAAGCGUUUCCCACACUUCGGAGCCAAUUUUGGGCUUGGAUGUAUGCCCAAAAUUAUAAACCUCCACAAGUCUCUAAAAAGUACCUGGCGAAGAGCUCUGCCCUCCAUAAACCCCCAGACCAGAAGCUCUGUUCAUACGCUGUUAUACUUGGCUUAGAAAAUCCCACACAAACACCCUUAGUCCAGUCCAGAAGCUCUGCCCACACCCACUCUCCUCUCUUUAGAAGCUCUGCACCCACAUAAAGCCCCUCAGCCCAGAAGCUCCGCCUACACACAACUGUCAGCCCAGAAACCCCGCCCACAAGCCAAUAAAAGCCCUCUCAGCCCAGAAGCCCCACUCCAGAAUGGGCUCCCUCAGUCGGAAGUCUCCCCGCUCCACCGCCCCCAGUGUAACCCCUCCAACCCAGAAACGCCGACUGCACUAGCGCCCCCUGCCCAGAAUCUCCACCCUUAGCGCUGAAGCCACGCCCACUGGUAAGUCCCGCCCCCCUUUCUAGCCCCGACGAGCUGGUCCUCACGAAAGCCCAAGCCCCCACAGGGCUUCGUCUUAGAAGCCCCGCCCACCGUCCAAUGUCCCGCCCCCACAACAGAGGCCCCACCCCGCAAAACGACAGGAGGGGGCGGGAUCCCGUCUGCGCUCGCAUCCCCUCCCCCUCCCGUCACCGGGCUCCUGUCCGCGUGGAGCAGCAAUUAGCAGCCUGGCCAUCCUAACCCGUGCGCCCGCUCGUUGCCAGGCCGAGCCUGAGCCGCUCUGCUCACCCAUCUCCUCCCCCCGGUG
RNAcentral lists this long non-coding RNA (2763 nucleotides) under Homo sapiens (human). RNAcentral describes it as "non-protein coding lnc-PTP4A2-1:2". The record is from RNAcentral. Lineage: Eukaryota; Metazoa; Chordata; Mammalia; Primates; Hominidae.